This 73-nucleotide transfer RNA is filed under the name Planctomycetota bacterium. Its description in RNAcentral is "Planctomycetes bacterium (marine metagenome) tRNA-Pro". It matches the Rfam family "tRNA". Rfam says of the family: Transfer RNA (tRNA) molecules are approximately 80 nucleotides in length. Their secondary structure includes four short double-helical elements and three loops (D, anti-codon, and T loops). The record is from RNAcentral. Lineage: Bacteria; Pseudomonadati; Planctomycetota.
CGGGAUGAAGGGGAGGUGGCGCCCCGCCUGGCCUGGGACCAGGAGACCGCAGGUUCGAGUCCUGUCAUCCCGA